GGUUAAGCGACUAAGCGUACACGGUGGAUGCCCUGGCAGUCAGAGGCGAUGAAGGACGUGCUAAUCUGCGAUAAGCGUCGGUAAGGUGAUAUGAACCGUUAUAACCGGCGAUUUCCGAAUGGGGAAACCCAGUGUGUUUCGACACACUAUCAUUAACUGAAUCCAUAGGUUAAUGAGGCGAACCGGGGGAACUGAAACAUCUAAGUACCCCGAGGAAAAGAAAUCAACCGAGAUUCCCCCAGUAGCGGCGAGCGAACGGGGAGCAGCCCAGAGCCUGAAUCAGUAUGUGUGUUAGUGGAAGCGUCUGGAAAGGCGCGCGAUACAGGGUGACAGCCCCGUACACAAAAAUGCACAUAUUGUGAGCUCGAUGAGUAGGGCGGGACACGUGGUAUCCUGUCUGAAUAUGGGGGGACCAUCCUCCAAGGCUAAAUACUCCUGACUGACCGAUAGUGAACCAGUACCGUGAGGGAAAGGCGAAAAGAACCCCGGCGAGGGGAGUGAAAAAGAACCUGAAACCGUGUACGUACAAGCAGUGGGAGCACGCUUAGGCGUGUGACUGCGUACCUUUUGUAUAAUGGGUCAGCGACUUAUAUUCUGUAGCAAGGUUAACCGAAUAGGGGAGCCGAAGGGAAACCGAGUCUUAACUGGGCGUUAAGUUGCAGGGUAUAGACCCGAAACCCGGUGAUCUAGCCAUGGGCAGGUUGAAGGUUGGGUAACACUAACUGGAGGACCGAACCGACUAAUGUUGAAAAAUUAGCGGAUGACUUGUGGCUGGGGGUGAAAGGCCAAUCAAACCGGGAGAUAGCUGGUUCUCCCCGAAAGCUAUUUAGGUAGCGCCUCGUGAAUUCAUCUCCGGGGGUAGAGCACUGUUUCGGCAAGGGGGUCAUCCCGACUUACCAACCCGAUGCAAACUGCGAAUACCGGAGAAUGUUAUCACGGGAGACACACGGCGGGUGCUAACGUCCGUCGUGAAGAGGGAAACAACCCAGACCGCCAGCUAAGGUCCCAAAGUCAUGGUUAAGUGGGAAACGAUGUGGGAAGGCCCAGACAGCCAGGAUGUUGGCUUAGAAGCAGCCAUCAUUUAAAGAAAGCGUAAUAGCUCACUGGUCGAGUCGGCCUGCGCGGAAGAUGUAACGGGGCUAAACCAUGCACCGAAGCUGCGGCAGCGACACUAUGUGUUGUUGGGUAGGGGAGCGUUCUGUAAGCCUGUGAAGGUGUGCUGUGAGGCAUGCUGGAGGUAUCAGAAGUGCGAAUGCUGACAUAAGUAACGAUAAAGCGGGUGAAAAGCCCGCUCGCCGGAAGACCAAGGGUUCCUGUCCAACGUUAAUCGGGGCAGGGUGAGUCGACCCCUAAGGCGAGGCCGAAAGGCGUAGUCGAUGGGAAACAGGUUAAUAUUCCUGUACUUGGUGUUACUGCGAAGGGGGGACGGAGAAGGCUAUGUUGGCCGGGCGACGGUUGUCCCGGUUUAAGCGUGUAGGCUGGUUUUCCAGGCAAAUCCGGAAAAUCAAGGCUGAGGCGUGAUGACGAGGCACUACGGUGCUGAAGCAACAAAUGCCCUGCUUCCAGGAAAAGCCUCUAAGCAUCAGGUAACAUCAAAUCGUACCCCAAACCGACACAGGUGGUCAGGUAGAGAAUACCAAGGCGCUUGAGAGAACUCGGGUGAAGGAACUAGGCAAAAUGGUGCCGUAACUUCGGGAGAAGGCACGCUGAUAUGUAGGUGAGGUCCCUCGCGGAUGGAGCUGAAAUCAGUCGAAGAUACCAGCUGGCUGCAACUGUUUAUUAAAAACACAGCACUGUGCAAACACGAAAGUGGACGUAUACGGUGUGACGCCUGCCCGGUGCCGGAAGGUUAAUUGAUGGGGUCAGCGCAAGCGAAGCUCUUGAUCGAAGCCCCGGUAAACGGCGGCCGUAACUAUAACGGUCCUAAGGUAGCGAAAUUCCUUGUCGGGUAAGUUCCGACCUGCACGAAUGGCGUAAUGAUGGCCAGGCUGUCUCCACCCGAGACUCAGUGAAAUUGAACUCGCUGUGAAGAUGCAGUGUACCCGCGGCAAGACGGAAAGACCCCGUGAACCUUUACUAUAGCUUGACACUGAACAUUGAGCCUUGAUGUGUAGGAUAGGUGGGAGGCUUUGAAGUGUGGACGCCAGUCUGCAUGGAGCCGACCUUGAAAUACCACCCUUUAAUGUUUGAUGUUCUAACGUUGACCCGUAAUCCGGGUUGCGGACAGUGUCUGGUGGGUAGUUUGACUGGGGCGGUCUCCUCCUAAAGAGUAACGGAGGAGCACGAAGGUUGGCUAAUCCUGGUCGGACAUCAGGAGGUUAGUGCAAUGGCAUAAGCCAGCUUGACUGCGAGCGUGACGGCGCGAGCAGGUGCGAAAGCAGGUCAUAGUGAUCCGGUGGUUCUGAAUGGAAGGGCCAUCGCUCAACGGAUAAAAGGUACUCCGGGGAUAACAGGCUGAUACCGCCCAAGAGUUCAUAUCGACGGCGGUGUUUGGCACCUCGAUGUCGGCUCAUCACAUCCUGGGGCUGAAGUAGGUCCCAAGGGUAUGGCUGUUCGCCAUUUAAAGUGGUACGCGAGCUGGGUUUAGAACGUCGUGAGACAGUUCGGUCCCUAUCUGCCGUGGGCGCUGGAGAACUGAGGGGGGCUGCUCCUAGUACGAGAGGACCGGAGUGGACGCAUCACUGGUGUUCGGGUUGUCAUGCCAAUGGCACUGCCCGGUAGCUAAAUGCGGAAGAGAUAAGUGCUGAAAGCAUCUAAGCACGAAACUUGCCCCGAGAUGAGUUCUCCCUGACCCUUUAAGGGUCCUGAAGGAACGUUGAAGACGACGACGUUGAUAGGCCGGGUGUGUAAGCGCAGCGAUGCGUUGAGCUAACCGGUACUAAUGAACCGUGAGGCUUAACCUU
RNAcentral lists this ribosomal RNA (2903 nucleotides) under Escherichia coli. Its description in RNAcentral is "23S ribosomal RNA". It matches the Rfam family "Bacterial large subunit ribosomal RNA". Lineage: Bacteria; Pseudomonadati; Pseudomonadota; Gammaproteobacteria; Enterobacterales; Enterobacteriaceae. The record is from RNAcentral.